Molecule: ribosomal RNA, 1017 nt
Filed under: uncultured bacterium
Lineage: Bacteria
Description: bacterial SSU rRNA
Rfam family: Bacterial small subunit ribosomal RNA
Source: RNAcentral
AGGCCUGGCGGCAGCUUACACAUGCAGUCGAGCGGAACGAUACCAGCUUGCUGGUAGGCGUCGAGCGGCGGACGGGUGAGUAAUACUUAGGAAUCUACCUAGUAGUGGGGGAUAGCUCGGGGAAACUCGAAUUAAUACCGCAUACGACCUACGGGAGAAAGGGGGCAGUUUACUGCUCUCGCUAUUAGAUGAGCCUAAGUCGGAUUAGCUAGAUGGUGGGGUAAAGGCCUACCAUGGCGACGAUCUGUAGCUGGUCUGAGAGGAUGAUCAGCCACACCGGGACUGAGACACGGCCCGGACUCCUACGGGAGGCAGCAGUGGGGAAUAUUGGACAAUGGGGGAAACCCUGAUCCAGCCAUGCCGCGUGUGUGAAGAAGGCCUUUUGGUUGUAAAGCACUUUAAGCAGUGAAGAAGACUCCUCGGUUAAUACCCGUGGACGAUGACAUUAGCUGCAGAAUAAGCACCGGCUAACUCUGUGCCAGCAGCCGCGGUAAUACUGAGGGUGCAAGCGUUAAUCGGAAUUACUGGGCGUAAAGCGAGCGUAGGUGGCUUGAUAAGUCAGAUGUGAAAUCCCCGGGCUUAACCUGGGAACUGCAUCUGAAACUGUUAGGCUAGAGUAGGUGAGAGGAAGGUAGAAUUCCAGGUGUAGCGGUGAAAUGCGUAGAGAUCUGGAGGAAUACCGAUGGCGAAGGCAGCCUUCUGGCAUCAUACUGACACUGAGGCUCGAAAGCGUGGGUAGCAAACAGGAUUAGAUACCCUGCUAGUCCACGCCGUAAACGAUGUCUACUAGUCGUUGGGUCCCUUGAGGACUUAGUGACGCAGCUAACGCAAUAAGUAGACCGCCUGGGGAGUACGGCCGCAAGGUUAAAACUCAAUGAAUUUGACGGGGGCCCGCACAAGCGGUGGAGCAUGUGGUUUAUUUCGAUGCACGCGAGACCUUACCUGGUCUGACAUAUCUAGAAUCUGCAGAGAUGCGGGAGUGCCUUCGGGAAUCAGAUACAGUGCUGCAUGCUGUCG